UGGAAAAUGAGACGUCAAAGGAUCGUUUUUGUUUUUCUCCAAACUUCUACAAUAUGACUCGGAUUUAAAGCAAAAAGACGUGGCCAAGAGGCUCCACUGAGAACUCCCCCACAAACACAGCAACCGGGGAACACGGACCAUAAAUAUCAUUGUUCAUCAUUCAUUCAUCAUUAAUGGUUAUCAUUUUCCCCUUAACAUCGACA
Long non-coding RNA from Phycodurus eques (leafy seadragon), 203 nucleotides. RefSeq lists it as uncharacterized. The transcript has 3 exons. The record is from RefSeq and is a predicted model, not a curated record. NCBI's taxonomy places the organism in Eukaryota, Metazoa, Chordata, Actinopteri, Syngnathiformes, Syngnathidae.